AGGGAUUAUUCAGUCCCCUCGGAGCACAUACCCUCCCUCUCUCACAUAUGCAUGGGUCCCAGCCUCUAAUAACAGAAUUUUUGUGUCUGCACGAGCACUAUUUUUUUAGUACUCCAGUGUAUAUUAUAAAUUUACCCAAAUCCCAUCCCGCAGAGCAGUAGUUGAAGAACUUGUAGACUUAAAAAAAGGGAAGAGACGACUCCAAUAUAACAGUUGCAUCAACAAAAUACAAAUCUUAUUCAUAGAAAUGUAAAGGCCUCACUUUGUGA
RNAcentral lists this unclassified non-coding RNA (269 nucleotides) under Hevea brasiliensis (rubber tree). Lineage: Eukaryota; Viridiplantae; Streptophyta; Magnoliopsida; Malpighiales; Euphorbiaceae. The record is from RNAcentral.